Molecule: ribosomal RNA, 916 nt
Filed under: archaeon enrichment culture clone EAr-c24
Lineage: Archaea
Description: bacterial SSU rRNA
Rfam family: Archaeal small subunit ribosomal RNA
Source: RNAcentral
UUCCGGUUGAUCCUGCCAGAGGCUACUGCUAUCGGGGUCCGACUAAGCCAUGCGAGUUGAGAGGGGUAAGCCCUCGGCAUAUUGCUCAGUAACACGCGGAUAACCUGCCCUUGGGUUUGGGAUAACCCCGGGAAACUGGGACUAAUACCGGAUAGAUCAAAGAAACUGGAAUGUUCUCUGAUCGAAAGCUCCGGCGCCCAAGGAUGGGUCUGCGGCCUAUCAGGUAGUAGUGGGUGUAACGUACCUACUAGCCUACGACGGGUAAGGGUUGUGAGAGCAAGAGCCCUGAGAUGGAUUCUGAGACAUGAAUCCAGGCCCUACGGGGUGCAGCAGGCGCGAAAACUUUACACUGCGGGAAACCGCGAUAAGGGGACCCCGAGUGCCAGCACCUAGUGCUGGCUGUCCAGCUGUUCAAAUAACAGUUGUUAGCAAGGGCCGGGCAAGACCGGUGCCAGCCGCCGCGGUAACACCGGCGGCCCGAGUGGUAGCCGUUAUUAUUGGGUUUAAAGGGUCCGUAGCCGGCCUAUUAAGUCUCUUGGGAAAUCUGGCGACUCAAUCGUCAGGCGUUCAAGAGAUACUGGUAGGCUUGGGACCGGGAGAGGUGGGAGGUACUCCAGGGGUAGGGGUGAAAUCUCGUAAUCCUUGGGGGACCACCGAUGGCGAAGGCAUCCCACCAGAACGGGUCCGACGGUGAGGGACGAAAGCUGGGGGCACGAACCGGAUUAGAUACCCGGGUAGUCCCAGCCGUAAACGAUGCUCGCUAGGUGUCANGUGCGGUGCGACCGCAUCUGGUGCCGCAGUGAAAACUUGAAGCGAGUCACCUGGGAAGUACGGUCGCAAGGCUGAAACUUAAAGGAAUUGGCGGGGGAGCACUACAACGGGUGGAGCCUGCGGUUCAAUUGGAUUCAACGCCGGA